RNAcentral lists this ribosomal RNA (343 nucleotides) under uncultured bacterium. Its description in RNAcentral is "bacterial SSU rRNA". It matches the Rfam family "Bacterial small subunit ribosomal RNA", at positions 28 to 368 of the family's 1533-position model. The record is from RNAcentral.
GAUGAACGCUAGCGGCAGGCCUAAUACAUGCAAGUCGGACGGGAUUUGGGAGCUUGCUCCCAAUGAGAGUGGCGCACGGGUGCGUAACACGUAUGUAACCUACCUUAGUCGGGGGGAUAGCCUCUCGAAAGAGAGAUUAAGACCGCAUAAAAUCACAGUAUAGCAUUAUACAAUGAUCAAAUAUUUAUAGGACUAAGAUGGGCAUGCGGAACAUUAGCUAGUUGGUGAGGUAACGGCCCACCAAGGCUACAUGUUUAGGGGAUCUGGAGAGGAUCGACCCCCCACACUGGUACUGAGACACCGGACCAGACUCCUACGGGAGGCAGCAGUAAGGAAUAUUGGU